This is a long non-coding RNA of Strongylocentrotus purpuratus (purple sea urchin), 919 nucleotides long. RefSeq lists it as uncharacterized. The record is from RefSeq and is a predicted model, not a curated record. The transcript has 2 exons. Lineage: Eukaryota; Metazoa; Echinodermata; Echinoidea; Camarodonta; Strongylocentrotidae.
UUUUUUCCCCACUGGCACUGCUAUGCGCAUCGGACUUUUGCUGAUUUUCGUUCAUCAAACGUCUCCAAAUCACACCAAAAUGUCUUCCAGCAAUUAUUCUAGCGAUGAAAUUUCAUCAAGAGAUAGUGACUCCUCAUACUCCGAUGCCUCCUUAUCCCAUUUUAGUGAUUCUUCCCAAGAAAAUGAGCCCGACAAAUGUUCAAAAUAUAAUACUAGUCCCACUCGUAGAGAAAUGAGUUUGUUGUCGAAUGACGGAACAUCGACGAGCGGAACUGGCCCCAGAAAACAGCUGAAAAGGAAUCAGAAAACACAACCUGCUAAAGUACCACGCAAGAAGAAGAGCAAGUCUUCCAAGUCCGAGAGUGCAUGUGUCUGCGAGGUAUGUCCUUACUAAGUAGAAAUCUAAAUCUAUUGUUGAUAAUUUUUUUAGGUUUAUUUAUUUCAUGUUUGUUAGUUAAGAUCUGACAUCAAAAUAUUAGAGUAGUUUACCUCAUCAUUAUGCUAGAACAAUAAUUUGCAGGUGGCACAAUUUCUACCUAGAUCUACAUUAUUUUUCUCUUUCCUUUUUAUUUUUUUCUUCAACAAAUUGUUCCUUUACUAUUUUCUUUUCUGUGUUUUAUGUUUUAUUUUAUGUAUGUUCACCCAAUAUAUCUAAGAAUAAAAUAACUCUAAUUAAUUGCCUACCUGAGUGGUUUACAUUUCAUGCACCUUGACAGCUCUUUGAUGACUCCGUUGUUUCACCAUCCGUUCGUCGUCAGCCUGGCAUCUUUUUUGCUAUCAUACUUUUGUACACACAUGUUCUGUGCCUUUGAAUUUUUCAUUAUGAAAUACAUAAAUACUUGUACUAAGUAUUAAUUGCAUGUUCAUAAAUGUACCAAUGCAUGAUUAUUCUAACCCCUAACUCACAUUUCAUUUAUAU